This is a long non-coding RNA of Glossina fuscipes, 2832 nucleotides long. RefSeq lists it as uncharacterized. Lineage: Eukaryota; Metazoa; Arthropoda; Insecta; Diptera; Glossinidae. The record is from RefSeq and is a predicted model, not a curated record. The transcript is spliced from 5 exons.
UUAUAAUCAUUCCUACUAAAACUCGCUUUAGAUGGGAAAACGUUGGUUUUGUUCGCAUCUUGUGAUGAAAAUGGGUGAAUGAUGAUGCGGCCUUUGACAAGAAGUCUAACUUCUUGAAAUUUGAAAAUCGGCGCGUGUGUCGGACCUUCUUACUCUUGAUACUGACUGACACUUAAAUUUGUUAAACGCGGAACGGGUCAGGCUAUAUGAAUACUUUCGGACACUCCAAAACAUAUAUUUCGCCUUGAUAGUCGCAGGAAGUGUUCCAAGGAAUAAUCUAGUGUGUGCCAUUUCUGCAGUGACCACCGAACUGCGGUGCCGAGGUCUUUCAUAUUUCGGGAUACGUGAAAUAGCGAGUACAUAUCGCAGCUCAUAUAGGGUGCGAUCUAUCCGGACGAAACGUAAUAAAGCUAAUAUCCACGAAAAAUACAUUAAUUUUGAGGAAGAUUUUACCAUGGUGUGCGCAAUCUAAGGAUGGUUUCCUACUUGCCAGCAACCACAGCACUUGGACUAUCUCUUAACACUUCAAUGUGUACAGACUCAGUGACAUAAAACAAAUUGUCUUCGAUGCUAAUUCAAUUCUGAUUGUCUGUAUUCAUAUUCACUAUUGAAAAAUAGAUACAGAUACACAGAGAUAUAAAACAAUUUCAUCUCAUCACAAGAAUGUGAAUGUGCCGAAGACUUGGAAGACUUGGAUAAAUGUUGCAUAAAGUUUGAUUUAUUUGAAUCCGUACAAACCGGUCACGUACAAAAGUUUCUCCAAACAAUCAUUAUGGUUGCGAACGAAAAACUUUGCAUCAUUUGUCAAAUAUACUCGAAUCGUUUGGAGAAGCGGAAUAACGUUUAACCCAUAACUCAUUACUAAGUCUAGAUACAUCUGCAUGUGUAGGCUAUUUUUCGCUUGAACUUUGACAUCGAGAAGGGCAUUUUUCCGCGGGCCAGCAUUUUAGUGAGCUAACUCGAAAGAUCCUGCUGUCUCAAACAUCAAUUAACGUCAUCCCGCAAAAGCAGGUUAUUUUUAUAUAGCAAUUUUCAAUCUUAGCUCAGCCUUUUCGAUAUUGGUUAACCAAAGUCAGAUGUGAAGAAAAAUAAAUUCGUCUGUAACCAAAUGCCAUAUUAGUACACUCCAAUGAAACUGGAAACAUCGUCUACGAUAUGAACCCCGCAUCUUCUUGCAUCACCAACGAGAUGAUUUUUCAAUUAACGCCAAAUAGAGUGUUUGUUGCCGAAGUUUAUUGUCGUCAAGACCGUAGAACGUUUCCGCAUCCAGGCAGAGUUGAAAUCGCUCCGGAAGCAGAAUAAGAAGACAGCAAUUUCAUAUGAAGCGCAUCAUCCAAUUCCAUUGUCCUGCAUUGGCUUCUUGGCAAAAUAUUUAAGCAGCACUGGAAUUGCCGCCAACAUUCUUAUCUUACAACGCAACUUUGCUGGUUCAUGGCAGGCGCACUGUUUGUUUUGCAACAAAGUAUUUGGAGUAGCGGAUUAAGAUAGAAAUGACUGCAACAGGUUAAAGAAAGUGUCACUUCGGAUGGAGUCGUUGCGCCACACGAGAGUUGGUUUUCGCAGGCCAUUCUAUUUGCACUUCAAGUAAAAAGACAUCACUGAAACAGAUAUAUCACAGAUACAACUAAAUUUUGCUACUUUACCGCAAAAGCCUCGAACCUCCACGUCAUUAGUGACUUAACCAGUGAUGCGUUCUUGGGUUGGCAAAAACCGCUGAGUAACCAGUCUCGUUUGUUACGAGCCAAAUCUAAAUUGGGAAUGUGAAAUGAAGCAAAGCGGAUGUCCAUGCCAACAUCACCUAUUGAACACCACGCUUUCACUAGAUUCGAUACUAAAGCUCGGAUGUAUUGGAACGUUGAAGUAGAACUUUAAUUUGACCAGGGAGUAUAUUAGAGUUCAUAAUAACAACUCUGAAAUGGAAAGUAGUCAAAAUAAGGUGUUUUGAAGACUUUGAGCGUUUGAUUGAUUUAUUACAGACAAUGCAAUGCAGGUCUUUGCCUCUUUGUAAUAGACGAGAAUAAAAAGCAAAUGUGAAGCGACGCACAGCUAGUUGAGACUUUGUAACACACAAGCGUAAUAAAUGUUUUCGUUUCGAAACUCUUAAUUCUUCUUAGUAAAACAACCGUAAAUAAAAAGUACAUAUUGUCUGCCAUUAUCAUAAAAAAUAACCUGUCUUUAUUAGAAAUUCAUUAUAUGCAUUCAUUAGUCCCAAAAUUGAUAAAGCUGUAAUAAACCUAACCUCUAAAAAAUAUUUACAGCCCGAACGUUGUCAUUCUAAGGCUAGAAGAAGUAUUAAAUAAUAUAAAUAAUUAUUGAAAUAGCUUGUGCGAUUCAAAGAAAAUAUUGUUAUGCAUUAAUAAACCGCGAAAAUAAGUGAAAAUAUUUGAUCACUAAAAUUAACUGAGACUGUUUUUUUCUUAGAAAUCUUUGAUGUUUUAAAAAUUCUGAUCGAAUAACCAUGCACUAAAGCGUAGAAAUCGCUUAAAAUGGCGUUCUAAACUGUCUGCAAUAAUGCUUUAUUGAUUCAAAUAAGUAGUGGUCCGAAAUUUUGCAAAGUUUUGCAAAUUCAGCGGAUGUAAUGUAAUCCCUGCUUAAUGUUUCGAAUUUUCCUCAUCCAUUUUCUAUCGCGAUUCACGGUCCAUCUGACAAUUUAUAUUUUUUUUUUUUAAAUAAAUAGGAAAAGAAACUCUUCUCAAAAUGAUUUUCUUUAGCACACAAUUCGGCAUAUUCAAAACUCCAAAAAAUCAUGCCCGAUGCCCUUCGACGAGAUCGUAUUUAUCAUGGUAUAAAAACUAAACGUACUAAAAUGGCAUGAAGAAGACACUACAUUAC